CUUACUUCUUUUUCUUCCUCCUUCAGAGCACCUACUGCUCCCCCUUCUUCGUCCCGCCAGAAGCCCUGCUUGCGCAUUCCUGUGGAGCCAAAGGGAGAAGAGGUGAAGCAGAAGUAUAACAUGCAUCCAGAGAAGUGCAAAGACUUGGGCAUUUUACAAAGUGAAUAUCCCCAGCACCGAGAUCAAGAAACACCAUAAUUAGGAUCCAGAAGUCCCCCCAAAUAUCAGAGGCAAAGACUUCUGAAGCCCAGUGCUCCAACUUGAGAAAGCUGUGGAGGCUGUGGUUCAGGCCCGGGGAAUGAGCGUGGAUGAAGUAGAAUAGUAUGCUGACUAGACCAGUGCUUCUCAAACUGCAGUGUGCCACUGAAUGACCCAGGCGUCUGGUUGAAAGGCAGGUUCUGAUUCAGCAAGCUGGGAAGGGGAUGCUGCGAUUCUACAUUUCUGUCAAUCUCCUACACUUGGUUAGCAAGGCCUUGAACCCAGAGAUUCUCAAUAAUGCUGUACAUAAGAAUCACAUGGGAAGCUUUUAAAAACACUGCUGCCCAGGUCCCACCCCAGAACAAUUCAGUUGGAAUCUCUGGGGUGGGGCUCAGCAUCCAUAGGUUUUAAAAACUCCCCUGGUGAUUCCAGUGUGCAACCAGAAACAGUGGGUGCUGGUUCCCUGGAGUAUCCCCAGUGCAUGAGCUGAGGUGGGAGGGAAGUGAGGUGUGGGGUCAGGUCUGGUGUCUGAGCAAAUGAUCCAGUAUCACAAAGGGCAAGAGAUUUCUUAGGAAUGGACCAUUUGCUCCUUAGUGGAGGUGAAGGGAGGGAUUUCUGAAGGAAUUCUUUGGCGUGGGGCUAGGCUAUCUGCUAACCCAGGUCACGUCCUCCCAGGACCAAGAACAGACCCGUGCCUUCACCUUAUCAAGCAAGUCAGAGCUCCCCAGAGCUGCUCCAGGGGCUGGGCUCACAUGCCCCCAAGCAGUUCAGACAUUUUCAGAACCUUACUAGGGCAGUGGGAGGAGGUGCUGCCAGCUGCUCCCACACCCUGCCCCCUCUGCCCUGCUAGAGAAAGAGCCAGAUGAGUCCAGAGAUUACAAACCCUGGAUCAACAUGGACUAUUCAGGAUGAAGCGCCACGGUCCUGGGUUCUGACGCCCUCUGGUGGACACCUAGAGUUGAAGUUGGUAACCAACAAACAGACUACCGCGUCCAGCAUAAUGCCCUCCAAGUCCAUCCACGUUGCUGCACAUGGCAAAAUUUUGUUCUCUUUUAUGGGUCACUUCUCCAAGCUUUACUCCCAUCCACAGUCUGUUUGCCUGUGUUUACUUUUUAAGUCCUCAGGCUGUGCACGUGGCUACUAAUUCUGACAGGGGAAAGCUUGGACAUAGGUGAGGCAAUUAAAAGGCUUCCCAAUUCUAGUGGCUGCAAUUCCUGCAAGCGUACUGAAGAAUUCUGGCUGGCACUUGCAGCUACGAGAUUCAGUUGUAUAAUGGUUUUUUUUUGGUAAUUGCUUAGUAGAAAGCCUGUAAAAUAAAACCCUUACCAGUUAUGCCUUUUACUAUAGAGCAGCAGUGUCCACUAACCAUUAGCUAUUGAGCACUCGAAAUAGGGGUAGCCCAAAUUGUGAUGUGAUAAGCACAAUGGAUUUUGAAGACUUAUUAUGGAAAAAGGAAUAUAAAAUAUCUUGGCAAUAAUUUUUAAUGUGUACAUGUUAAAAUAAUAGCAUUUUGAAUAUAUUGAUUUCAAAUAUACUAAAAUUUCAUGUUUCUUUUUAGGUUUUUAAUGUGACUAAAAAUUAAAAUUAGAUAGGUAACUCACCUAUUUUUGAGGGGGAGGGGAGACAAAAUAGGUCCUGUUAGAAUUUUCUUUUUUUUUAAUUGAAGUAUAGUUGAUUUACAAUGUUGUUAGUUUCAGGUGUACAGCAGAGUGAUUCAGUUUUAUAUAUAUAUUCUUUUUCAGAUUCUCUUUCCUUGUAAGUUAUUAUAAAAUAUUGAGUAUAGUUCCCUGUGCUAUACAGUAGGUCCUUGUUGGUUAUCUUUUAUAUACAGUAUUGUUUAUGUUAAUCCCAAACUCCUAAUUUAUCCUUUUCCCUCCCCCCUUUCCCCUUUGUUAACCAUAAGUUUGUCUUCCAUGUCUGUGGGUCUGUUUAUGUUUUGUACAUAGGCUCAUUUGUAUCUUUUGUUUUUUGGGGUUUUUUUAGAUUCCACAUAUAAGUGAUAUAUGAUAUUUAUCUUUCUCUGUCUGGCUUACUUCACUUACCGUGAUAAUCUCUAGGUCCAUCCAUGUUGCUGCAAAUGGCAUUAUUUCAUUCUUUUGUAUGACUGAGUAGUAUUCCAUUGUAUAUAUAUACCACCUCUUCUUUAUCCAUUCAUCUGUCCAUGGGCAUUUAGGUUGCUUCUGUCUCAGCUAUUGUAGAUAGUGCUGGCUAUGAACAUUGGGGUACAUGUAUCUUUUCGAAUUAUGGUUUUCUCCGGAUAUAUGCCCAGGAGUGGGAUUGCUAGGUCAUGUGGUAGCUCUAUUUUUAGUUUUUUAAUGAACCUCCAUACUGUUUUCCAUAGUAGCUGCACCAAUUUACAUUCCCACCAACAGUGUAGGAGGAUUCCCGUUUCUCCACACCCUCUCCAGCAUUUAUUGUUUGUAGAUUUUUUGAUGAUGGCCAUUCUGACUGGUGUGAGGUGGUACCUCAUUGUCAUUUUGAUUGGCAUUUCUCUAAUAAUUAGCGAUGUUGAGCAUCUUUUCAUGUGCCUUUUGGCCAUCUGAAUGUCUUCUUUGGAGAAACAUCUAUUUAGAUCUUCUGCCCAUUUCUUUAUUGGGUUGUUUUUUUGAUAUUGAGCUGUAUGAGCUGUUUGUAUAUUUUGGAAAUUAAUCCAAAACUAAAAGACAACCUACAGAAUGGGAGAAAAUAUUUGCAAAUGAUGUGACCUGCUAGAGUAUUCUUACUGAAAACCAAUGACCAAUUGGACAUCCACAUGCAAAAAAAUGAACCAUAUACCCUUUACAAAAAUUACCUGAAAAUAGCUCAGACCUAAAUGUUAAAUGGAAAAAUAAAACUCCUAGAAGAUGACACAGGGAAAAAUCUAGAUGGGUUUGGUGAGACAUGAAAGAAAUAAUUGAUAAGCUGGACUUCUUUAAAAUUAAAAAAUUCUGCUCUGCAAAAGACACUUUCAAGAGAAUGAGAAGACAAACCACAAACUGGGAAAAAAUAAUUGUAAAACACAUAUCUAAUAAAGGACUGUUAUCUAAAAUAUACAAAAAAAAUUCUUAAAACUCAACAAUAAGAAAACAAACAACCUGCUUAAAAUAGGAGCAAAAGAUCUGAACAGACACUUCACCAAAGAUAUACACUUGGUAAAUAAGAAUAUGAAACAUCUUGUCAUUAGGGAAAUGCAAAUUAAAAUGAGAUACCACUACACACCUACUAGAAUGGCCAAAAUCCAAAACACCGACUCCACCAAAUGCUGACAAGGACGUGGAGCAACAGGAACUCUCAUUCACUGCUAGUGGGAAUGCAAAAUGGCAUAGUUACCUUGGAAGACAGUUUGGAAGUUACUUACAAAACUAAAGAUACUCUUACCAUAUAAUCCAGCAAUUGCACUCCUUGGUAUUUACCCAAAUGAACUAAAACUUAUGUCCACAAAAAACCUGUACACGUUUAUAGUAGCUUUACUCGUAAUUGCCAAAAUUUGGAAGCAACAAAGAUGUUCUUUGGUAGGUGAAUGGAGAAAUAAACUGUUAUAUCCAGACAAUGGAAUAUUAUUCAGCACUAAAAAGAAAUGAGCUAUCAAGCCAUGAAAAGACACAGAGGAAUCUUAAAUGCAUAUUACUAAGUGAAAAAAUCCAAUCUGAAAAAGCUAGAUUGAAUGAAUUUUAUGAUUCUAACUAUAUGACAUUCUGGAAAAGGCAAAACUAUGGAGACAGUAAAAAUAUCAAGGGUUGCCAGGGGUUCCUGGGAAGGGAAGAUGAAGAGGCAGAGCACAGAGGAUGUUCAGGGCAGUAAAAUUAUUCUGUAUUGUACCAUAAUGGUAAAAAUGUCAUUAUACAUUUGUCCAAACCCAUAGGAUGUACACCACCAAGAGUGAAUCAUAAUGUCAACUAUGGACGAUAAUGAUGUGUCAAGUUAGAUUCAUUGAUUGUGACAAAGAUGUGGAAACCAGCUAAAUCCUUAAAGAAGGCAGAGAUCUCACGUGGAGAGUAAAGCCUUACAGCCUGGGAUCUCCUAUCUGGCAUCCAGUGAAGGCGGAGGAUCACGCUAAGCUGCCACUUUCCACCUUCAUCAG
Balaenoptera acutorostrata (minke whale) is the source of this 4258-nucleotide long non-coding RNA. RefSeq lists it as uncharacterized. The transcript has 7 exons. The record is from RefSeq and is a predicted model, not a curated record. Lineage: Eukaryota; Metazoa; Chordata; Mammalia; Artiodactyla; Balaenopteridae.